AUCCCUUCUAGGUCUUCUGGUUAAGAUCAAGUGUAGGAUCUGUUUUAUCAGUUUAGUAUCUGCUACAUCGUUUAUCCCAGGACAAUAUAUGAAGUGGAUUUUUGGAGCAGGGAGAUGGUUGAAAAUAAUACACCAUGCUUAACGUUGACCAUUUGCUCCUGCUAAUCAGAUGUUCUGCAUAAA
Small nuclear RNA from Papio anubis (olive baboon), 183 nucleotides. Its record names the gene U2. It matches the Rfam family "U2 spliceosomal RNA". From Rfam's summary of the family: U2 is a small nuclear RNA (snRNA) component of the spliceosome (involved in pre-mRNA splicing). Complementary binding between U2 snRNA (in an area lying towards the 5' end but 3' to hairpin I) and the branchpoint sequence (BPS) of the intron results the bulging out of an unpaired adenosine, on the BPS, which initiates a nucleophilic attack at the intronic 5' splice site, thus starting the first of two transesterification reactions that mediate splicing. NCBI's taxonomy places the organism in Eukaryota, Metazoa, Chordata, Mammalia, Primates, Cercopithecidae. The record is from Ensembl.